GAUGAACGCUGGCGGCGUGCCUAAUACAUGCAAGUCGAGCGAACAUACGAGGAGCUUGCUCCUCUUACGUUAGCGGCGGACGGGUGAGUAACACGUGGAUAACCUACCUUUAAGACUGGGAUAACUUCUGGAAACCGGAGCUAAUACCGGAUAAUCUAUUGAACCGCAUUGUUCAAUAGUGAAAGACGGUUUUUCUGUCACUUAUAGAUGCAUCCGCGCGUAAUUAGCUAGUUGGUAAGGUACCGGCUUACCAAGGCGAUGAUGCGUAGCCGACCUGAUAGGGUGGACGGCCAGACGGGAUGUGAGACAGGGCCGAGACACCUAGGGGAGGAAACAGUAGGGAAUCUUACGCGAGGGGGGAAAGCCGGACAGAGCAAAGUGGCGUAAAUGAUGAAGGACUGAGGAUCGGAAAACGAAGAUGUUAGGGAGGAAGAAAUGUGUAAGUGACAGGGAAGGUAUUGACGGUACCUAAUAAGAAAGCAACGGCUAACUACGUG
RNAcentral lists this ribosomal RNA (497 nucleotides) under uncultured bacterium. RNAcentral describes it as "partial 16S ribosomal RNA". It matches the Rfam family "Bacterial small subunit ribosomal RNA", at positions 28 to 507 of the family's 1533-position model. The record is from RNAcentral.